Molecule: long non-coding RNA, 989 nt
Filed under: Sinocyclocheilus anshuiensis
Lineage: Eukaryota; Metazoa; Chordata; Actinopteri; Cypriniformes; Cyprinidae
Description: lncRNA (ENSSANG00000042727.1)
Source: RNAcentral
UAAGUUUAGCACAUUUCUAAUGAUGCUCAAGGAUAUGCAUGAUAGCCGGGAUAAAGAUGGAACCGCAUUGGUAAUAGAACCGUUACCCAUAAAUGAACUUAUUAAAGAGGAGCCAUCACUGAUUCUGGAUGUAAAGGAUGAGAUGACCACAGUAAACACCGUGGAUACACAAAAAUGUCAACUGGGCAAAACUGCAUCAAAACAGAAGAUGAAACUGAAAUCUGGGACAAAUAUGAUCCCAGAAAUUCAGCUUACCUCUUCUGUGUCAAAAAAUGCUCAAAGACCUAGCAAAAAAAAUUGUUUGAAAAAGAAAACCACUGAGAUCGCAGCAAACAUCCACUUGAAAGAUACAUUUGACAAACUUCACCUGCCCUCAGAAGAACCAGACUCCAAGUUCUCGGCUAAUGUGCCCAAAAAGCGUUGGCAAAAGUUUGGCCAAGUCAGUAACAAAGCAUUACAUGUAGUCAAAGGUACUUGUAUUAAAAAAACAGAACAAUUACCCUCAGAAAAUUGUGAUGUUUUGGUGGGUAAUACAAUUAAGUCUUGUCCUUUUGCGCCUGGGAAGGAAACUACCAUCAAUGCAUCUGAAAAUACUCAAGGCAACUCUCAAAAAAAUGACAUCACAACAGAAUGCAAACGUAUUAGAAAACCUAGCAAAAGACUCAUAGAAUGGACAGAGGAAUAUGAUCAAUUGUUUUCUACUAAGAAGAAAGCAAAAAAGAAACCUGAGUCCUUUACUAAGGUUGAAAACAACAACUGCAGUGGCCCAGUGGAGAAAACAUCUGGCGAAAGUAUACAGAAACCUCAGGUGACAGAACAAUGUGUGUCAAGACCCAUGCCAGAAUUGCAGACUCCUCCUCCAGAAGACCUGUCUCGGAGCACUCCUUCAAUAAAUACCACGCCAUGUCAAGAGAGACAGGUGUUGUCUGUAGACACGCUAACUCCACUUCCAGAAACAAUCCCAUCCCCAUGUGGUGAAAUUUGUCAUA